This 377-nucleotide long non-coding RNA is filed under the name Monodelphis domestica (gray short-tailed opossum). RNAcentral's name for it is "lncRNA (ENSMODG00000047599.1)". Lineage: Eukaryota; Metazoa; Chordata; Mammalia; Didelphimorphia; Didelphidae. The record is from RNAcentral.
GAAUAGGCAAGUGGGUGACAAGUUCCCUUGUUAGGUCACAGGUGCCUUCUCACUGGAUUCCUUCAAGCAAAGACUGGAAGACAACUGGUUACCCAAGUCAUAGAAACAAUUCUUGUUUGGGUACAAGUUGAACUAAAUGACCUCUGAAGAUCAAUGACCAGAAAUCACAAAUAAGUGGCUGAACUUCAACCUAGUUUUUCAGAGAUUAUUGAUGUUCUUGUUUGGUUUUGGCGUGCAUUUCUACUUCACCGAAUAAAUUCACUCUUAAAAUUACUUUUGUGUACUGGGAUAAAAGAAUGCCUCAACAAUGAGGUAUGUUUUCAGAAAAUUCUUGUAUAUCACGAAGUCUAUUUUUAUACACACUAAUUCCACAUAAU